RNAcentral lists this ribosomal RNA (499 nucleotides) under uncultured bacterium. RNAcentral describes it as "bacterial SSU rRNA". It matches the Rfam family "Bacterial small subunit ribosomal RNA", at positions 26 to 518 of the family's 1533-position model. The record is from RNAcentral.
CGAGGACGAACGCUGGCGGCGUGCUUAACACAUGCAAGUCGAACGGGGCUGAUUGAAAGCUUGCUUUGAAAAGUCUAGUGGCAAACGGGUGAGUAACGCGUAGGCAACCUGCCUCUAAGAUGGGGACAACAGUCCGAAAGGACUGCUAAUACCGAAUGUUGUGAGUUUUCCGCAUGGAAGAUUCAUUAAAGAUGGCCUCUACUUGUAAGCUAUCACUUAGAGAUGGGCCUGCGUCUGAUUAGCUAGUUGGUGAGGUAACGGCCCACCAAGGCGACGAUCAGUAGCCGACCUGAGAGGGUGACCGGCCACAUUGGGACUGAGACACGGCCCAAACUCCUACGGGAGGCAGCAGUGGGGAAUAUUGCACAAUGGGCGAAAGCCUGAUGCAGCCGACGCCGCGUGAGCGAAGAAGUAUUUCGGUAUGUAAAGCUCUAUCAGCAGGGAAGAUAAUGACGGUACCUGACUAAGAAGCACCGGCUAAAUACGUGCCAGCCGCCGC